ACCCAGCUGACGAGUCCUAAACAGGACGAAACUCACUUCUUGAAU
This is a non-coding RNA of Schistosoma mattheei, 45 nucleotides long. NCBI's taxonomy places the organism in Eukaryota, Metazoa, Platyhelminthes, Trematoda, Strigeidida, Schistosomatidae. The record is from Rfam.